GAUGUCACGCGCACAUGUACAUUAUGUAUGCACCGUUGGCCAGAAUCAUCAUCGCUCUUGCGACGUUUCCCGUCUGGCCCGCUGCGACACCAGCACGCACGCGGACUGGAAUGGUGAGCCACCUCCAACGAAGAAAUAAAAGCAAGGGAGGGAGGGAAUAGGGGGUGGGUCGAGCGUCUCGAGGCGGGUCGGGGUUUCGGAGAGGGGGGCGGGCGGGCGUUGUCCUCCUCCUCUGCCACCUCUCUCCGUCCUCGCGAUCGGCGCUGCCUCUCCCAGCGAGCUGCCUGUUCGCCUCUCUCCAUCUCGUUUUCUGGCAUAUGUUCCUCCCGCCCGCCCGCCCGCCCCUCCACCAGACGUAGCCUCGGUACACACACACCUCAUCUCUCUAUUUCCGCUGUAUUCACGGGAUGCUUUAUGCCGCCAUGUCGCACACGCCUUCUGCCGCACGUUCCGUGCACGCGUCAUCAACGGACUGUGCGGUGCAUCGCUCACCCUCUCCACAG
Molecule: unclassified non-coding RNA, 503 nt
Filed under: Leishmania donovani
Lineage: Eukaryota; Euglenozoa; Kinetoplastea; Trypanosomatida; Trypanosomatidae
Description: gene:unknown
Source: RNAcentral